AUGCUGUUUCUCACGAAGCUUGUGCAACCAGAUUUCUGCAAACUUGGCCUAAGUGCGUGUGAAGUCUGUCUUCCCUUCCACUUAGAUGCUGCCGUGGAGCCCCAGAAGAAGGAGCAGCUUCGUCCAACUGUGUCCGAUGUUCCUGUCUACUCAGACCAUAGCAGACCCGAGGUCCCAGAGCCUCCAAUCCAAACCACUACAAGUUUCCAGCUUGACCGUCCCUUUCCUUCAGCCCAGCUGGAUCCUGAGACCAGAGAUACAGCAAGUCAAGGUCUCUCAACACCGGAUCCAGGAUGUCUUCAUGAUUUGGCAGAGGAACUGAGAUGUUCCCAGUCCUGGACCAGAGAGCUUUUGUCUUGUGUGAAUGAUCUGGAGCAACUCCUGGGGCCAGCGGUGGAGCAGCGAAGUUCUGUGCAGCCCAGCCAGAGUGAGGAGCUGCAGAUAGACCUAGAGCGGUCACCGGUGCAGGAGCCGGAGCCAGAGCUGGAGUGCAGAGUUGUAAGGGCCAGGCAGAUCAUCUGUGAUAUCCAACGUAAAGUGGUGAUUCUGCAUAAUCGCCUGCAGGAUUUAGCAAGCUCUUUCCCUGCCUCCAGAUAUGGGGCUGUGCCCGUGCACCUGGCUCUUCCACCCUCAUCUGUCUUGUCGCCACCUGUGCCUCCUACACCAUUGCUGUCUUCUGCAGUUUGGUAAGCCUUGUAGUGGGCAUCAUACACUUUCUACAAGGAAUUUUAAGCUCUGCACCAUAGGUUUUUAGAGCAAGAAUAGUGUCAGGAGGAACAGGAAAAAUAUGAAGAUGGUCACUGUGUUGCAACAUGCCUCUGGGCUUCAGGCCCUGUGCUGUACCGUGGCAGGCAGUUCUGGGACUGGAGCAGUUUACUUCCUGACUGCCCUGGCUGUACUAGUGCAGCUGUUCUGUGUCUAGUGUAUAUGGUGGGGGUUUUUUUGUUUUUGGUUUGUGUUUGUUUGUUUUGUUUUGUUUUUUUCUUCAGCAGAAGUGGCAGCCUCUGGUCUCCUGGUAGCAUCAGAGGGUGAUAUUAUUAUUAUUAUUAGUCCUUACGAAAAAAAAAUAAUAAUAAUGAGUCUCUGCACUGAGCACAGUGCAGAGCUGUGCCAUCCCAGGGGGGCCAGACAUACUUGUCUUGUCCCCAGCUGUGCAUAGUGACAAGGGGCCUCUGCAAAAAAUAAAUAAAUAAAUAAAGUCUCCCA
Long non-coding RNA from Crocodylus porosus (Australian saltwater crocodile), 1206 nucleotides. The record is from Ensembl. Lineage: Eukaryota; Metazoa; Chordata; Crocodylia; Crocodylidae.